GUUGGUGUCGAUUGCGGUGAGGGUCCACCCGUUCCCAUUCCGAACACGGAAGUUAAGCUCACAUAGCGCUGAAGAUACUUGGCGGGCAGCUGCCUGGGAAAAUAAGUAGGUGCCAACA
This 118-nucleotide ribosomal RNA is filed under the name Clostridia bacterium. Lineage: Bacteria; Bacillati; Bacillota; Clostridia. The record is from RNAcentral.